RNAcentral lists this ribosomal RNA (301 nucleotides) under uncultured bacterium. Its description in RNAcentral is "partial 16S ribosomal RNA". It matches the Rfam family "Bacterial small subunit ribosomal RNA", at positions 509 to 807 of the family's 1533-position model. The record is from RNAcentral.
CAGCAGCCACGGUAAUACAGAGGGUGCAAGCGUUAAUCGGAAUUACUGGGCGUAAAGCGCGCGUAGGUGGUUUGUUAAGUUGGAUGUGAAAUCCCCGGGCUCAACCUGGGAACUGCAUCCAAAACUGGCAGGCUAGAGUAGGGCAGAGGGUGGUGGAAUUUCCUGUGUAGCGGUGAAAUGCGUAGAUAUAGGAAGGAACACCAGUGGCGAAGGCGACCACCUGGGCUCAUACUGACACUGAGGUGCGAAAGCGUGGGGAGCAAACAGGAUUAGAUACCCCAGUAGUCCCUGUCUCUUAUAC